This 1244-nucleotide long non-coding RNA is filed under the name Homo sapiens (human). RNAcentral describes it as "HSALNT0365633". Lineage: Eukaryota; Metazoa; Chordata; Mammalia; Primates; Hominidae. The record is from RNAcentral.
UGUAAAAAUGAAUGGCCACUUCCAGGUAUGGCUGAGAAGGGUGAAAAUGCAUGCACCCACAGACACACACACACACCGUGGAAAUGAGGAAAAGUUACUUCUCUCUGUUGUAAAUUUAAAUGCAGUCCAGAGUAGUGAAGGCCGUUUGUAAGGUCUGCUGAGCUAAUGGAUUCAUAAUGACUUUUAAAGCUUCACUCGGUACAUCCUAUGUGCCAGACACUGCGAUAGGUUCUGGAGAUAACAACAGUGUCCAAGAAACAACAGUGUCCAAGAAACAGGACUUUCCCUCAAAGAGCUUACUGGGGAAGCCAGCAAGACCAGCAGACAAACACAGCUGCACUGGGGGAGAGCCUGCUGAAGCUGCUUGAAUCUCAACACUGUCAUACCCGCCAUCUCAUUAUCUACAGCCACAUCUAAAACCCACAUGAAAUACCAAGUCACACGCGGCUCUGGGAAAGACAUUUUACAGAGACCAUCUUAUGAGUUUUUAAUCUGCCUCCUGAGAACUUACAAUCUAAGAAAUAGAAAACUGAUUCCAGUAAGCAUGCCCAGAAUAUGCUAGCAGCAAGAUUAAAACAUGAAACUAUGAAUGUUAAGAAGAACAAUUUUUAAAAAAUCAUUGGACAUCAAACCAAAACAAAUCAUGGUGCCUCCACACAAUGGGAUAUUCCUCAGCAGUAGAAAGGAAUGGACUACUGAUCACGCAGUAAUGAUGACGAAUGUCAAUGUAAUUAUGCCAAGUGAAAGAAGCCAGCCAAAAGGUGGAGAAGAUGAGUUAAGGACGUUUCAAGCAGAGUUGCCAGCAUGAGUAAGGUCAUGGAAAUUGUGACGGUGACCAUGACCUUUGGAAGUAAUGCAAAGUCCCGUGUGCCUGGAACAUAGAUAGAGAGGGAUGCAGGAGAGAGAGGUGACAGGAAGUGCGACAAUGAGCAUUUGUUGGGAAGAGGCUAUAAAGUUCUUUAACUGCUGUGCUGCUUGAAGAUCUCUCUCCUACCACUUCUGGUGACCUGCUUUGCCUUUCCAAGUUGCCUCAAUUUCCUCUUAACUAUUCCUGGCUUCUCAAGAACUCUCUAUAGCAGAUGAUGAUCCUCCUGUCUCCUGCUCAGCUGCCAAGGAGUUAGGCUCCAGAUUCAGUAUCUGACUCAAUUAAUUUUCAGAAGAGAAAGGCAAAGUGAAUUAAAGUAACAAACCCUACCUGCUGUCACUUAAACGAGGAGAUGUAUUACUUUUUACUACAAUGAUAU